Molecule: ribosomal RNA, 471 nt
Filed under: uncultured bacterium
Lineage: Bacteria
Description: bacterial SSU rRNA
Rfam family: Bacterial small subunit ribosomal RNA
Source: RNAcentral
GAUGAACGCUGGCGGCGUGCUUAACACAUGCAAGUCGAACGAAGCAUUUAAGACAGAUUACUUCGGUUUGAAGUCUUUUAUGACUGAGUGGCGGACGGGUGAGUAACGCGUGGGUAACCUGCCUCAUACAGGGGGAUAGCAGCUGGAAACGGCUGGUAAUACCGCAUAAGCGCACGGUAUCGCAUGAUACAGUGUGAAAAACUCCGGUGGUAUGAGAUGGACCCGCGUCUGAUUAGCUGGUUGGUGAGGUAACGGCCCACCAAGGCGACGAUCAGUAGCCGACCUGAGAGGGUGACCGGCCACAUUGGGACUGAGACACGGCCCAGACUCCUACGGGAGGCAGCAGUGGGGAAUAUUGCACAAUGGAGGAAACUCUGAUGCAGCGACGCCGCGUGAGUGAAGAAGUAGUUCGCUAUGUAAAGCUCUAUCAGCAGGGAAGAUAGUGACGGUACCUGACUAAGAAGCUCCGGC